AGAGUUGAUCCUGGCUCAGGACGAACGCUGGCGGCGUGCUUAACACAUGCAAGUCGAACGGGAUUCAAUCAUUCGCAAGAAUGAGGAAGAUCUAGUGGCGAACGGGUGCGUAACACGUGAGGAACCUAUCCCAGUCUCUGGAAUAACAGGUGGAAACACCUGCUAAUACCGGAUGCCGUUGGACCGCCGCAUGGCGAACCAACGAAAGAUUUAUCGGAUUGGGAGGGCCUCGCGGCCUAUCAGCUUGUUGGCGGGGUAAUGGCCCACCAAGGCUUCGACGGGUAGCUGGUCUGAGAGGAUGAUCAGCCACACUGGGACUGAGACACGGCCCAGACUCCUACGGGAGGCAGCAGCGGGGAAUCUUGCACAAUGGGCGAAAGCCUGAUGCAGCAACGCCGCGUGCGGGAAGAAGGCCCUAGGGUUGUAAACCGCUUUCAGCAGGGGAAGAAAAUGACGGUACCUGUAGAAGAAGGUGCGGCCAACUACGUGCCAGCAGCCGCGGUGACACGUAGGCACCAAGCGUUGUCCGGAUUUAUUGGGCGUAAAGAGCUCGUAGGCGGUUCGGUAAGUCGGGUGUGAAAACUCUGGGCUCAACCCAGAGACGCCACCCGAUACUGCUGUGACUAGAGUGCGGUAGGGGAGCGGGGAAUUCCUGGUGUAGCGGUGAAAUGCGCAGAUAUCACGGAGGAACACCAGUGGCCGAAAGGCGCCGCUCUUGGGCCGUGACUGACGCUUGAGGAGCGGAAAGCGUGGGUAGGCAAACCAGGAUUAGAUACCCUGGGUAGUUC
This 788-nucleotide ribosomal RNA is filed under the name uncultured Actinomycetes bacterium. Its description in RNAcentral is "bacterial SSU rRNA". It matches the Rfam family "Bacterial small subunit ribosomal RNA", at positions 8 to 796 of the family's 1533-position model. The record is from RNAcentral. Lineage: Bacteria; Bacillati; Actinomycetota; Actinomycetes.